This 204-nucleotide microRNA precursor is filed under the name Oryza punctata. RNAcentral describes it as "MIR812 microRNA precursor family". It matches the Rfam family "MIR812 microRNA precursor family". Lineage: Eukaryota; Viridiplantae; Streptophyta; Magnoliopsida; Poales; Poaceae. The record is from Rfam by way of RNAcentral.
UUUACUGUUUAUGUCCAAUGUUCGAUUAUCCAUUUUAUUUAAAAAAUAUUUAUAAUUAGUAUUUUUAUUGUUAUUAGAUGAUAAAACAUGAAUAACGCUUUAUACUUUAUGCAUGACUAAUUUUUUAAAAUAUUUUAUAAAAUUUUUCAAAUAAAACGAACAGUUAAAUAUUAUUGGAUACGGAAAUCCACGAUUAUACUUAAA